GGGCCAGUAGCUCAGCUGGUAGAGCAUCGCCCUUUUAAGGCGGGUGUCCUGGGUUCGAGUCCCAGCUGGCUCACCA
Molecule: transfer RNA, 76 nt
Filed under: Candidatus Auribacterota bacterium
Lineage: Bacteria; Pseudomonadati; Candidatus Auribacterota
Also listed under: 1 other name
Description: tRNA-Lys
Rfam family: tRNA
About the family: Transfer RNA (tRNA) molecules are approximately 80 nucleotides in length. Their secondary structure includes four short double-helical elements and three loops (D, anti-codon, and T loops).
Source: RNAcentral